AGGUGAACAGCUGGAUGAUGUGAUGGAGGCACGCAGGGUGGAGGGGUUACCACAGUCUAGGUACUCUACACAUCCAGAGCCUCCCACAGUUGACAAAUGGAUUUUCCUAAUCAGUUUCGUCGUGUUUUGUACUUAAGUUGAGGAUUCCACACCGUGUGGUACUUUCAGAAGAGAUGUAGUGGUGAAUCAAUCGCAACGAGGUUGUGAUGUUUUCCUAAUUAGGUAUUGAGAAUUACCAUUGGUAUUUGGAAUUAGAUUGCGGAGCAUUUAGGAACCGUUCUCGCUAUGUUGCCCAGGCUGGUCUUGAACUCCUCAGCUGAAAUGAGCCUCCCACCUCGGCCUCCCAAAGUGCUGGGAUUACAGGCGUCCCCUCUGCCCCAGUACUGUUUCCUCUCCCCAGCCCAGCCCCCACAGCUGCCUGCCCUGGCCUCACUCCCUGGCCUCCCCCAUCCCAGCCUCUGGGUCCCUGAGUCAGUCCCUGGGGCUGUCUGCCUUCUAGGGGAGCCUCUGGUGUGGACCAGAAAGUAACCUAAUCCCUUCCAGGCCCACCCUGGAAACAAAGGGAUUUGUCCACUAGCCUGGUGGUGAGAACCAUGUGGCCUCCUGUCUCUGGCAGAGAGGACUCCAGGAUCAAGGGCAGGUAAAAGGAGGAGCCUCCUGGGGAGCUUCAGAAGGAGGGUCCCAAGUCCCUCCUGCCCCACUUCUGUGCCUGGGUCACUCACACCCCUGCCUGACUCUAGCCCCCCUUCUCCAGGGGUCUCCACAACAUGUGAAUCAUGCCCAGCGUCUUCCAUUACACCCUUGAUAAAGUCCUCUCCUCACCAGGACCUCUGUCAUUUUACCUCAUGGUUUUGAAAUAAUUUUUGGUCUUCUUAGCAGUUUAAAAAUAUUGUUUUGUUUUUUUUCCUGAGUUUGGAGCAUUCCUGUUACUAAUUACAUUUUUUUUUUAGACAGGUGUACACUACUACACCCAGCUAAUUUGUUUUGUUUUGUUUUGUUUUGGUAGAGAUAGGAUCUUGCUAUGGUACCCAGGCUGGUCUUCAACUCCUGGGCUCAAGCAAUCCUCCUGCAUUGGCCUCCCAAAGUGCUGGAAUUACAGGCAUGAGGCAGCACGCCCAGCCCUAAUUACUUCUAUUACGCCAAAUUCCUUGUGUGGAAUUCCUGUGCUUUGCACACAAAUUGCCAGGUUGGCCCCAAAGGGGAAAAAAGUGGAUCCCAUUUUCCCAUCUUCUAUGCCUACGUGGCUGACAAAUCUCCCGAAUCCCACAGGAGCUGUCGCUGAUCUUUGUCCUCUAUUCGCUGAAAUAAAGUUCACCAUGGA
Molecule: long non-coding RNA, 1321 nt
Filed under: Homo sapiens (human)
Lineage: Eukaryota; Metazoa; Chordata; Mammalia; Primates; Hominidae
Description: non-protein coding LINC00605:6
Source: RNAcentral